RNAcentral lists this ribosomal RNA (335 nucleotides) under Progonyleptoidellus striatus. RNAcentral describes it as "partial 12S ribosomal RNA". The record is from RNAcentral. Lineage: Eukaryota; Metazoa; Arthropoda; Arachnida; Opiliones; Gonyleptidae.
CCCUAUUAUUAAAAAUGUAAAAAAUUAGUAUUUUAGGAAAUUUAAUGAUUUUGGCGGUUAAUUAAUAUUUGGAGGAGCUUGUGUAUUUUAUAGAAUUUGCCCUUUAUAUUUUAUAAAUAAUUAAUUUAUUCAUCUCCGUUAUUAAUUUUUGAAAAGUAGGGUUAACUAAAUUUGAAAUUAGGAUUUCAGGUCAAGAUGUAGUUUUUAUUUUAAGAUAUUUAGCUACAUUUAUGUAAUUAGUGGAUUAUAGAUUUUUUUAAAUUUAAGAAUAUAAGAAAUUGAAUUUAGUUGUAAUAGUAAUUAGAAUAUUAUUAUGAAUUGAUUUAAUUAAUGUA